RNAcentral lists this ribosomal RNA (584 nucleotides) under uncultured Ralstonia sp. RNAcentral's name for it is "bacterial SSU rRNA". It matches the Rfam family "Bacterial small subunit ribosomal RNA", at positions 140 to 719 of the family's 1533-position model. The record is from RNAcentral. Lineage: Bacteria; Pseudomonadati; Pseudomonadota; Betaproteobacteria; Burkholderiales; Burkholderiaceae.
GGGAUAACUAGUCGAAAGAUUAGCUAAUACCGCAUACGACCUGAGGGUGAAAGUGGGGGACCGCAAGGCCUCAUGCUAUAGGAGCGGCCGAUGUCUGAUUAGCUAGUUGGUGAGGUAAAGGCUCACCAAGGCGACGAUCAGUAGCUGGUCUGAGAGGACGAUCAGCCACACUGGGACUGAGACACGGCCCAGACUCCUACGGGAGGCAGCAGUGGGGAAUUUUGGACAAUGGGCGAAAGCCUGAUCCAGCAAUGCCGCGUGUGUGAAGAAGGCCUUCGGGUUGUAAAGCACUUUUGUCCGGAAAGAAAUGGCUCUGGUUAAUACCUGGGGUCGAUGACGGUACCGGAAGAAUAAGGACCGGCUAACUACGUGCCAGCAGCCGCGGUAAUACGUAGGGUCCAAGCGUUAAUCGGAAUUACUGGGCGUAAAGCGUGCGCAGGCGGUUGUGCAAGACCGAUGUGAAAUCCCCGAGCUUAACUUGGGAAUUGCAUUGGUGACUGCACGGCUAGAGUGUGUCAGAGGGGGGUAGAAUUCCACGUGUAGCAGUGAAAUGCGUAGAGAUGUGGAGGAAUACCGAUGGCGAA